GUGGGGAAUUUUGGACAAUGGGCGCAAGCCUGAUCCAGCAAUGCCGCGUGCAGGAAGAAGGCCUUCGGGUUGUAAACUGCUUUUGUACGGAACGAAACGGUUCUCUCUAAUACAGGGGGCUAAUGACGGUACCGUAAGAAUAAGCACCGGCUAACUACGUGCCAGCAGCCGCGGUAAUACGUAGGGUGCAAGCGUUAAUCGGAAUUACUGGGCGUAAAGCGUGCGCAGGCGGUUUUGUAAGACAGAGGUGAAAUCCCCGGGCUCAACCUGGGAACUGCCUUUGUGACUACAAGGCUGGAGUGCGGCAGAGGGGGAUGGAAUUCCGCGUGUAGCAGUGAAAUGCGUAGAUAUGCGAAGGAACACCGAUGGCGAAGGCAAUCCCCUGGGCCUGCACUGACGCUCAUGCACGAAAGCGUGGGGAGCAAACAGGAUUAGAAACCCUAGUAGUCC
This 450-nucleotide ribosomal RNA is filed under the name uncultured bacterium. Its description in RNAcentral is "partial 16S ribosomal RNA". It matches the Rfam family "Bacterial small subunit ribosomal RNA", at positions 354 to 796 of the family's 1533-position model. The record is from RNAcentral.